UAGACAUAAAGUUAGACAUAAAGAUAUACACAGAGGUAGACACGAAGAUAGACUUAAAGGUAGACAUAAAGAUAGA
Long non-coding RNA from Xenia sp. Carnegie-2017, 76 nucleotides. RefSeq lists it as uncharacterized. The transcript is spliced from 3 exons. The record is from RefSeq and is a predicted model, not a curated record. NCBI's taxonomy places the organism in Eukaryota, Metazoa, Cnidaria, Anthozoa, Malacalcyonacea, Xeniidae.